CUGUAGUGUCUCUCCUCUCCCUGCCCCCUGCUGUACCCCCGCUGUACCCCUGUAACAGUAUUUGGGGGUGGCAUCUCCUCUCCCUGCCCCCUGCUGUACCCUCGCUGUACCCCUGUAACAUUCUUUCGGGGUGGCGUCUCCUCUCCCUGCCCCCUGCUGUACCCCCACUGUACCCCUGUAACACUCUUUCGGGGUGGUGUCUCCUCUCCCUGCCCCCUGCUGUACCCCUGCAGUACCCCUGUAACACUCUUUGGGGGUGGCGUCUCUCUGUAGUGCCUCUCCUCUCCCUGCCCCCUGCUGUACCCCCGCUGUACCCCUGUAACAGUAUUUGGGGGUGGCGUCUCCUCUCCCUGCCCCCUGCUGUACCCCCACUGUACCCCUGUAACAGUCUUUGGGGGUGGCGUCUCCUCUCCCUACCCCCGCUGUACCCCUGUAACAGUCUUUGGGGGUGGCGUCUCCUCUCCCUGCCCCCUGCUGUACCCCCGCUGUACCCCUGUAACAGUCUUUGGGGGUGGCGUCUCCUCUCCCUGCCCCCUGCUGUACUCCCGCUGCAGGAGGGAGGUGUGUGUGUGCCCCCUGUAGGGUUUGGGGUGACCGCAGUGCCCAGAGCGCAGUGGGGUGCUCUGCCCUGUGCAGGGUGUGGAAGAGACUGUUAGGGAGACGCUUCUUCAACCUGCUUCUCUCUCUCUCUCCUCUCUCUGGCCUUUUUCUGUCUCUCUGUUCCUCCAUCUCUCCCACUCCUCUCUCUCUCCUGCUCCUCUCUCUCCUACUCCUCUCUCUCCCACUCCUCUCUCUCCCUGUCUAUCUCUCCCACUCCUCUCUCUCCCACUCCUCUCUCUUCCCGUCUCUCUCUCCUACUCCUCUCUCUCCCACUCCUCUCUCCUACUCCUCUCUCUCCCUGUCUCUCUCUCCUACUCCUCUCUCUCCCUGUCUCUCUCUCCUACUCCUCUCUCUCCUUCUCCUCUCUCUCCUACUCCUCUCUCUCCCACUCCUCUCUCUCCCAUUCCUCUCUCUCCCACUCCUGUCUCUCUCCCUCUGUGCCUCCUUUCCUGUCACCCUCUCCCUGCCUCUCCCUCCCACUCCCCUCUCCCCCUCCCUCCCUGCCUCCUCCUCUCUCUCUCUGCCUGUCUCUCUCCUUCCUCAGUGCCUCCCUGUGCCUCCUGCAAGGCCGGAGCCG
RNAcentral lists this long non-coding RNA (1177 nucleotides) under Lepisosteus oculatus (spotted gar). RNAcentral's name for it is "lncRNA (ENSLOCG00000022284.1)". Lineage: Eukaryota; Metazoa; Chordata; Actinopteri; Semionotiformes; Lepisosteidae. The record is from RNAcentral.